This 492-nucleotide unclassified non-coding RNA is filed under the name Hevea brasiliensis (rubber tree). The record is from RNAcentral. Lineage: Eukaryota; Viridiplantae; Streptophyta; Magnoliopsida; Malpighiales; Euphorbiaceae.
AGGAUAUUUCUUUUUGCAUGAUGGCUGGUGUCCUUUUCACUGCAUUAGGUUUUAAGCCUCCAUGAAUCCUAGAUUACUUAAAAUUGGAGUUGCAAUGGAAAAUUAAUGAAAUUUGGAGCAUAUGUUUCAAGUUAUUUAAUGAGUGCCAAGUUUGAGAAAAGUGAACUGGAGGUUCUAUUCAGAAGGAAUAUGACAACAUUUUUUGCAGUAAACAGACUUUCUAUACUCUAAACCUUUUCUUCUACCAUCGUAUGUGAAUCAUCAAUUUCAUGAAAUUCAUAUUUAAUUAAGAGUUUUUCAAUCUUACGUUCACCAUGCUUUAGCAACUGUGGAUGAAAUGAAUGCUUGCCAACAAAUCCUCUAUUUUAUUUAAUUGAUGACCUCCCAUUUAAUGUUGCUGUUCAUGAACAAUACAUAGAAUCCAUUGGACUGGAUCAGAUAUUGAUGAUUAAUCUUCCAUAUUUUGCAUUUACAGGUCAAAGAAGAAGUUGA